AACGUACGCUGGCGGCACGCUUAACACAUGCAAGUCGAACGAAGUAGCAAUACUUAGUGGCAGACGGGUGAGUAACAUGUGGGUAUCUGCCCUUUGGCCUGGAAUAACACGAGGAAACUUGUGCUAAUACCGGAUAAGUCUUUACGGAGAAAGCUUUAUGCACCAUUGGAUGAGCCCGCACUUGAUUAGUUUGUUGGUGGGGUAAUGGCCUACCAAGACUGUGAUCAAUAGCUGAUUUGAGAGGAUGAUCAGCCACAUUGGGACUGAGACACGGCCCAAACUCCUACGGGAGGCAGCAGUGGGGAAUCUUGCACAAUGGAGGAAACUCUGAUGCAGCGAUGCCGCGUGAGUGAAGAAGGCCCUUGGGUUGUAAAGCUCUUUCGUCGGGGAAGAAAAUGACUGUACCCGAAUAAGAAGGUCCGGCUAACUUCGUGCCAGCAGCCGCGGUAAUACGAAGGGACCUAGCGUAGUUCGGAAUUACUGGGCUUAAAGAGUUCGUAGGUGGUUGAAAAAGUUAGUGGUGAAAUCCCAGAGCUUAACUCUGGAACUGCCAUUAAAACUUUUCAGCUAGAGUAUGAUAGAGGAAAGCAGAAUUUCUAGUGUAGAGGUGAAAUUCGUAGAUAUUAGAAAGAAUACCAAUUGCGAAGGCAGCUUUCUGGAUCAUUACUGACACUGAGGAACGAAAGCAUGGGUAGCGAAGAGGAUUAGAUACCCUCGUAGUCCAUGCCGUAAACGAUGUGUGUUAGACGUUGGAAAUUUAUUUUCAGUGUCGCAGCGAAAGCGAUAAACACACCGCCUGGGGAGUACGACCGCAAGGUUAAAACUCAAAUGAAUUGACGGGGACCCGCACAAGUAGUGGAGCAUGUGGUUUAAUUCGAAGAUACGCGCAGAACCUUACCAACACUUAACAUGUUCGUCGCGACUCUAAGAGAUUAGAGUUUUCGGUUCGGCCGGACGAAACACAGGUGCUGCAUGGCUGUCGUCAGCUCGUGUCGUGAGAUGUUGGGUUAAGUCCCGCAACGAGCGCAACCCUCACUUUUAGUUGCCAUCAUUAAGUUGGGCACUCUGAAAGAACUGCCAGUGAUAAGCUGGAGGAAGGUGGGGAUGACGUCAAGUCCUCAUGGCCCUUACGUGUUGGGCUACACACGUGCUACAAUGGUAUCUACAACAGGAAGCAAGACUGCGAAGUCAAGCAAAUCCUUAAAAGAUACCUCAGUUCGGAUUGCACUCUGCAACUCGAGUGCAUGAAGCUGGAAUUACUAGUAAUCGUGGAUCAGCGUGCCACGGUGAAUGCGUUCCCGGGUCU
RNAcentral lists this ribosomal RNA (1306 nucleotides) under uncultured bacterium. Its description in RNAcentral is "bacterial SSU rRNA". It matches the Rfam family "Bacterial small subunit ribosomal RNA", at positions 28 to 1381 of the family's 1533-position model. The record is from RNAcentral.